UUACUUGAUUCUAAAGUCCAAGGGAAAUUUGGGUUUCUAUAUGACAUUCUUGUCUAUUGGAUUGUAGUCCAUUGGUCAGAUCUUUUCAUCUCUCAACUUUUAAAUUUAUGCUUAGGAUUAGUCUCUUCAUCUCCUCCCUACUUCUUUAAUUUCAAAAUCUCUCCCUCCUUUUAAAAUCGUCUUUGCUUGUCUUUGUUGAUUUCUAAACUUUGACCAUUUUUGAAAACUAGAAACUUUGGCCUUAUGCCAU
This 250-nucleotide long non-coding RNA is filed under the name Lathyrus oleraceus (garden pea). RNAcentral describes it as "Pisum sativum (pea) long non-coding RNA (PSAT_LNC005648)". The record is from RNAcentral. Lineage: Eukaryota; Viridiplantae; Streptophyta; Magnoliopsida; Fabales; Fabaceae.